RNAcentral lists this ribosomal RNA (433 nucleotides) under uncultured bacterium. RNAcentral's name for it is "partial 16S ribosomal RNA". It matches the Rfam family "Bacterial small subunit ribosomal RNA", at positions 29 to 507 of the family's 1533-position model. The record is from RNAcentral.
AACGAACGCUGGCGGCAUGCCUAACACAUGCAAGUCGAACGAGCCCUUCGGGUCUAGUGGCGCACGGGUGCGUAACGCGUGGGAACCUGCCCUUAGGUUCGGAAUAACUCCCCGAAAGGGGUGCUAAUACCGGAUAAUGUCUUCGGCCCAAAGAUUUAUCGCCGUUGGAUGGGCCCGCGUUGGAUUAGCUAGUUGGUAGGGUAAAAGCCUACCAAGGCGACGAUCCAUAGCUGGUCUGAGAGGAUGAUCAGCCACACUGGGACUGAGACACGGCCCAGACUCCUACGGGAGGCAGCAGUGGGGAAUAUUGGACAAUGGGCGAAAGCAUGAUCCAGCAAUGCCGCGUGAGUGAUGAAGGCCUUAGGGUUGUAAAGCUCUUUUACCCGGGAUGAUAAUGACAGUACCGGGAGAAUAAGCGCCGGCUAACUCCGUG